AGUGAACGCUGGCGGUAGGCCUAACACAUGCAAGUCGAACGGCAGCAUAGUAAGAGCUUGCUCUUACGGGUGGCGAGUGGCGGACGGGUGAGGAAUACAUCGGAAUCUACUUUUUCGUGGGGGAUAACGUAGGGAAACUUACGCUAAUACCGCAUACGACCUACGGGUGAAAGCAGGGGAUCUUCGGACCUUGCGCGAUUGAAUGAGCCGAUGUCGGAUUAGCUAGUUGGCGGGGUAAAGGCCCACCAAGGCGACGAUCCGUAGCUGGUCUGAGAGGAUGAUCAGCCACACUGGAACUGAGACACGGUCCAGACUCCUACGGGAGGCAGCAGUGGGGAAUAUUGGACAAUGGGCGCAAGCCUGAUCCAGCCAUACCGCGUGGGUGAAGAAGGCCUUCGGGUUGUAAAGCCCUUUUGUUGGGAAAGAAAAGCAGCAGGUUAAUACCCCGCUGUUCUGACGGUACCCAAAGAGUAAGCACCGGCUAACUUCGUG
RNAcentral lists this ribosomal RNA (492 nucleotides) under uncultured bacterium. RNAcentral's name for it is "partial 16S ribosomal RNA". It matches the Rfam family "Bacterial small subunit ribosomal RNA", at positions 29 to 507 of the family's 1533-position model. The record is from RNAcentral.